This 1217-nucleotide long non-coding RNA is filed under the name Homo sapiens (human). Its description in RNAcentral is "non-protein coding FAM239B:11". Lineage: Eukaryota; Metazoa; Chordata; Mammalia; Primates; Hominidae. The record is from RNAcentral.
AGGCGGCCGUGGCAGAGGAGACCCCGGACUGGGCGCCCGAGCUCUGCCCCAGCCCCGAGUCGCGGUCGCCGGAGCCGCCUGCCAACCGCCUUCAAGACUUCGACACGCUGGUCACCGUGGGAAAGCAACUAGAAGCCAUUUGUGUCAAGGUAACGUCUGGAGAAACAAAAGGUCAGGAACGGCCAACGUCCCUACUGGCCACAGUCCAGCCCCAAUCUGCAAGACAGAGCCAGCCGCCCCGGGGGAAUUCCCGCCUGGUGGGACUCCACGUCACCAGCCCCCAGCUGCUCAGGGUACAGCCCCUCGUGAGAACCGAGCCACAGUCAUGUUUCCUACAUCAGCCUCCUGCUCAGGGGUUUGUACAGAGACCACUGCCAGCCCUCUAGGUGGUCCCUGCAAAGAGAGUCCCAGCUCCCAAGGCUCCAAAUGGACAGGGCACCAUGUUGACCCCUUCGUUGGCCUCCAGUUCGCCGACUGUAACAUGUUUCAUCCAGUUCAGGACGUUUAUUUAUUUCCAACUUGCAUACAAAACAUACUGAGAAACUAAAACCAUCGUUAAAAGUGAAGACACGUUGAGACAGGUAUCUCGACCUGCCAAGUAUACAGCUAAAGCUGAGUUCAUAAAAAGGGAUGAUUUGGCCGACGGUCAUCUGCCAGAUUCUGAUGAUGAUUCAGAACUCAGUGUGGAAGAACAUCAGAGGGAGAGGCAGGCGCUCUUUGACUUAUCAAGCUGCUCCCUGAGGCCCAAAAGCUUCAAGUGUCAGACUUGUAAAAAGUCAUAUAUAGGGAAGUGGGGACUGGCCCAGCAUUUUAAACUUAAUCCAGGCCAUGGCCAGCUGGACCCUGAGAUGGUGCUAUCUGAGAAAGCCAAUGGGAGCACCCUCCGUGGGUGCACAGAGGAAAGGACGCUCAGCCUGACCUUCCCGGGGCUGUCCGUGCCAGCGGCUCCGCGUGAGGGAGGGGCCCGCUCCUGCUUGGUGAGAGAGUCAGCACGCGGUGGCCUGGGUAAUGUUUGCAUCUGGGUGUCGUUUUCGGCCAUUCUCACACUGUUAUAAAGAAAUACUUGAGACCAGGUAUUUUAUAAAGAAAAGAGGUUUAGUUGGCUCACAGUUCCACAGGCUGUACGGGAAGCAUGGUGCUGGCAUCUGCUCAGCUUCUGGGGAUGCUUCAGAAUCAGUCACGGUGAAGGCAGAGUGGGAGCAGGCAUGUCACGUGGC